GCCGGCUCGGUGCCAGGGCUGGGAGAUCCGGGGGUGAAUCGUGAGCCCGGCCCACAGCGAGCUUGCAGUCUAGAGAUCAAGGCAGUCUUGUCCACAACCUGCUGUCACACCAAGCAAAUGUAGCUGGUGUAGCACCAGGGGCUGCAAUCAAGUGCGGUGGGGCGGCAAUAGUGACCACGGAAAUAAUCAGAAUUGCUUCUAAUUCAGCUCCUACUAUAUUCCCGUCAUCCCUGAGCCUCACAAUCAUCCUCCAAGGGGACACUCUUUAGGAGCCUGGCGGUGUCACUGGCCCACAAGGAAAGGAGCGUUACCAUCAGUGUCGGAAUGGAUGACAUCAACAAACUGCGCAUCACUGGGAUCUAAUCUGUCUUGGCAUUUGCAGAAGGUUCUGUGC
RNAcentral lists this long non-coding RNA (394 nucleotides) under Pan troglodytes (chimpanzee). Its description in RNAcentral is "long non-coding RNA NONPTRT011722". Lineage: Eukaryota; Metazoa; Chordata; Mammalia; Primates; Hominidae. The record is from RNAcentral.